GCCUGGGUGGCUCAGUUGGUUGAGUGUCUGACUUCAGCUCAGUCAUGAUCUCACAGUUUGUGAGUUUGAGCCCCACAUCAGGCU
This 84-nucleotide transfer RNA is filed under the name Felis catus (domestic cat). It matches the Rfam family "tRNA". From Rfam's summary of the family: Transfer RNA (tRNA) molecules are approximately 80 nucleotides in length. Their secondary structure includes four short double-helical elements and three loops (D, anti-codon, and T loops). Lineage: Eukaryota; Metazoa; Chordata; Mammalia; Carnivora; Felidae. The record is from Rfam by way of RNAcentral.